This 1842-nucleotide long non-coding RNA is filed under the name Homo sapiens (human). Its description in RNAcentral is "HSALNT0081568". The record is from RNAcentral. Lineage: Eukaryota; Metazoa; Chordata; Mammalia; Primates; Hominidae.
UCUCUUUUUCUUAUUGCCCCUACUAUCUGUCAUGUUCAGUGGUCUUACACGUAAAAUGUUUACCUCCCUUUUCCUUAUCCUUCAAUCUAAUCAAAUUAUGAAGUUCUUCAUAAUUUCCCUUCUGAACCAAUAAAAUAAGACUUCCAGUUUGUCACCGUAUAGCCACUCAUUUUCUUCCAAAGUGCUUCCCAUAUUCAUCUUUGGUGUCAUCUUUAUAAAUCCUCAUGUUAAUUUCCCCAAUUAAAAUUCAUUAAUAGGUCCCCUUCAUCUUCAAGAUGUCGUGAAUACUUCAUCGGAAACUUCUGCUUGCCACUUCCGUGCCAUCUUUCCAAAUUAUUCCCCAAUUCCCACCUACUUCAUCUUGUUCGGAGAAGUUAUCUCUUAUUUUUUCUUGCAUGUUCAACUCCAAUACUAUACCCAUAUUUAUCCAUCAUUCAAAAUGACUUACUGAGAAUUUAUUAAGUUUCAGGCAUUGAAUUAAAGAUAAUCAGUAAGGAAAAUCAAUAUAGACAUAGAUAUUUUCUUCCUUGAGUUUAUAGUUUAGUUAAUUAUCAAGACAAACAGGUUCUUAGUGAGUAGGAACUACACAGUGGAAGAACCACUUUCCUUCAAUGCAGAUUAAGGGGGAGAAAUGGAAAAUUCCAGGAGUAAGUUAAGUCUGGGCUACAAACUAAAGGAGUCAUAGGAGUUAGCGAAGGAGUUGGGAAAUCAGCACCUCAGGCAUCAGGGACAAUGCCUACAACGUUCUGGAGGGUUUUAAUAUUUCAGAGAACUUUGCCUGUAUGCAGAAAUGAAGUCCCUCUAGAAAACUUCUAAGCAUUCUCCUCUUCUGUGACCAGUGAGAUUCCCAAACAGCCCUUAUUUCUCUCCAUUAUGAAAAAGGAUGACUAUAUAGAGUAAUUGCUUUCUUCCUCACUAGACCUAAAGCUCCUUAGGACAGGUCUUUUGCAAACAUUUAGUAUACACGAGAGAGAGAGAGAGAGAGAGAGAGACAUUCAUUUUAAAAGACAUUGAAAUAUCAGCAAUGGUGUAUGACGACGACACUUUGCGUGUAAAGUUGAUGUUGAAUAAAAAUAAAAUUAUAGUCUUAGAUUUUGUGUGUAUGCCCCUGUGUGCAGGUGAAAUGAAUCUGUUAGAGGGACUGAGGUCAGCAACAAAGAACAAACUUCUUAUAGGAAAAUAUGGGGAUGCAUGAGAGAAUUUUUUGUUUAAAAUAUAAAUACCCAUUAUCUAAGGAAUCCUAAACUGGCAAAAAGCUAGAAAAUGCCCAGCAAAAUUCCAGGCACUUUGGAAGGGUAGGAAGAGACAAAUUAAAAAAAAAAAAAAAAAAAAGAAACAUAAAACUUUGCUCAUCCAGUCUACCUGGGGUGCUUACUGUUUACAUUUGGAGAUAAAAUAUCCCCCAAAUGAACUCAGAGUGGCUACCAGCAAAGUAUCAGACACCUGCCAGAGCAAAUGACCAGAAAAUGACAAGUCACAGAUAUUGUCCCAGUCAUUAACGAGUAGGUAUUGAAUAUACUUUGUGAUCACUUAGAGCUGUCACAGAAAUGAACGCUGGGCCUCAAGAAAUCUGAAGAGGCCCAAGGAAAAAAUAACAGAGUAGGAGAAACGAAACUUGAGGAGCAGAAAAAGACUAGUUUGGCAAAUGUGGAUCUAUUUUGCAGACAAAAUUAAAUCUUUGACAAUGUGAUAUUUGAAAGCUAUUCAACACUUAUCUUCCCUUUAGUGUUUAUAGUGCUUGCACAUUUAUGAUUAAAUUUCUUCACUGUUCAUCCAUGCAUUACUUUGAUGUUUUAUUCUGAACAUUCUGUACACAUAUAUCUGUACAUUCAUAAAUGGGCU